CUGAGUACGGCGGAACACGUGAAAUUCCGUCGGAAUCCGGGAGGACCAUCUCCCAAGGCUAAAUACUCCCUAGUGACCGAUAGUGAACCAGUACCGUGAGGGAAAGGUGAAAAGCACCCCGGAAGGGGAGUGAAACAGUUCCUGAAACCGUGUGCCUACAAGUAGUUAGAGCCCGUUAAUGGGUGAUAGCGUGCCUUUUGUAGAAUGAACCGGCGAGUUACGAUUUGUUGCAAGGUUAAGCGGAAAAAGCGGAGCCGUAGCGAAAGCGAGUCUGAAUAGGGCGCAUAAGUAACAGGUCGUAGACCCGAAACCAGGUGAUCUACCCAUGUCCAGGAUGAAGGUAAGGUAAUACUUACUGGAGGUCCGAACCCACGCACGUUGAAAAGUGCGGGGAUGAGGUGUGGGUAGCGGAGAAAUUCCAAUCGAACUUGGAGAUAGCUGGUUCUCUCCGAAAUAGCUUUAGGGCUAGCCUCGAGGUAAAGAGUCAUGGAGGUAGAGCACUGUUUGGACUAGGGGCCCUUCUCGGGUUACCGAAUUCAGAUAAACUCCGAAUGCCAUGUACUUAUACUCGGGAGUCAGACUGCGAGUGAUAAGAUCCGUAGUCGAAAGGGAAACAGCCCAGACCACCAGUUAAGGUCCCCAAAUAUAUGUUAAGUGGAAAAGGAUGUGGGGUUGCUUAGACAACCAGGAUGUUGGCUUAGAAGCAGCCACCAUUGAAAGAGUGCGUAAUAGCUCACUGGUCGAGUGACCCCGCGCCGAAAAUGUACCGGGGCUAAACAUAUUACCGAAACUGUGGAUGAACCUCUUUAGAGGUUCGUGGUAGGAGAGCGUUCUAAGGGCGGUGAAGUCAGACCGGAAGGACUGGUGGAGCGCUUAGAAGUGAGAAUGCCGGUAUGAGUAGCGAAAGAAGGGUGAGAAUCCCUUCCACCGAAUAUCUAAGGUUUCCUGAGGAAGGCUCGUCCGCUCAGGGUUAGUCGGGACCUAAGCCGAGGCCGAUAGGCGUAGGCGAUGGACAACAGGUAGAGAUUCCUGUACCAGUGCUAAUUGUUUAACCGAUGGGGUGACACAGAAGGAUAGGGAAUCGCACGAAUGGAAA
Molecule: ribosomal RNA, 1096 nt
Filed under: Listeria monocytogenes
Lineage: Bacteria; Bacillati; Bacillota; Bacilli; Caryophanales; Listeriaceae
Description: partial 23S ribosomal RNA
Rfam family: Bacterial large subunit ribosomal RNA
Source: RNAcentral